RNAcentral lists this ribosomal RNA (497 nucleotides) under uncultured bacterium. RNAcentral describes it as "partial 16S ribosomal RNA". It matches the Rfam family "Bacterial small subunit ribosomal RNA", at positions 28 to 507 of the family's 1533-position model. The record is from RNAcentral.
GAUGAACGCUGGCGGCGUGCCUAAUACAUGCAAGUCGAGCGAACGGACGAGAAGCUUGCUUCUCUGAGGUUAGCGGCGGACGGGUGAGUAACACGUGGAUAACCUACCUAUAAUACGGGGAGAACUUCGGGAAACCGGAUCUAAUACCGGAUGAUAUUUUGAACCGCAUGGUUCAAAAGUGAAAGACGGUCUUGCUGUCACUUAUAGAUGGAGCCGCGCUGCAUUAGCUAGUUGGUAAGGUAACGGCUUACCAAGGCAACAAUGCAUAGCCGACCUGAGAGGGUGAUCGGCCACACUGGAACUGAGACACGGUCCAGACUCCUACGGGAGGCAGCAGUAGGGAAUCUUCCGCAAUGGGCGAAAGCCUGACGGAGCCAUGCCGCGUGAGUGAUGAAGGCCUUCGGAUCGUAAAGCUCUGUUAUUAGGGAAGAACAUAUGUGUAAGUAACUGUGGACAUCUUGACGGUACCUAAUCAGAAAGCAACGGCUAACUACGUG